This 429-nucleotide ribosomal RNA is filed under the name uncultured bacterium. RNAcentral describes it as "bacterial SSU rRNA". It matches the Rfam family "Bacterial small subunit ribosomal RNA", at positions 29 to 439 of the family's 1533-position model. The record is from RNAcentral.
AAUGAACGCUGGCGGCGUGCUUAACACAUGCAAGUCGAACGAGAAAGUCUUUGCUUGCAAAGGCGAGUAGAGUGGCGCACGGGUGAGUAACACGUAGAUAAUCUACCUUCAAGCCUGGAAUAACUAUUCGAAAGGAUAGCUAAUACCGGAUAAAGUUGAUUGACAGAAGUGAAUUAAUGAAAGACUGCCUAUCCUUGGAAGCAGUUGUUUGGAGAUGAGUUUGCGGACCAUUAGUUUGUUGGUGGGGUAAAGGCCUACCAAGACUACGAUGGUUAGCUGGUCUGAGAGGAUGAUCAGCCACACUGGAACUGGUACACGGUCCAGACUCCUACGGGAGGCAGCAGUGAGGGAUUUUGCGCAAUGGGGGAAACCCUGACGCAGCAACGCCGCGUGAGUGAAGAAGGCCCUUGGGUCGUAAAGCUCUGUCGA